AGCCAUAUAGCCUGGUCGUAAAACAUUUAAAUAAUACAUAUAUACCUAAGAAAGUUAAAGGCCUUCCUUUUCCUAUCACAGAUUAUUGUUAAAAGUUUGUUAUAUAUUCUUAAAGAAUUUUUCACUAUUUGUAUACUUCUGAUAUCUAUAGAACUGUAUACCUGAUAGCAUCCGAUAGUUUCCGUAUCCCACCUCACCUCUAGUUAUUUAUUGACCAUCUGUGUUUCCUACCAGACUAAUGUCCACAGGACCUAGACCUGGAUCUGAGCCCAGAUGGGGAGCUCUGCCAUGGAAGCACAUCUCAUUCUCCAUAAUUACCCGAAAUCACGUCCAUGUCCCCAACCAGAAGCCCAACUUGUACCCUCCCUCCCCCAUGGAGCUUUUUCCAUUUUACAGAGAGGGGAAAAUGUAGCACUCAGUUUUGACAUUUUUGAGAGGAAAGAUUAUCAUUAUUUCCAAAGAUAAAACAACGUUCAGGGCCUGGCUUGUGAGGUUGCUUGCUGAGUAAAUUAUUCAAACAUGGAGGUUGGUUCUGGUCGGCUGCUGUGCUACCAGAACUGUGGGCCUGGCUUAACUCUUGGCUGGCUCUGCACCCCGGUGCUCAGGGCUGUGCACCAUUAGGCUCCAGGCGUUCUGGCUAGCUCAGGCCUCUGAGGUGUGGCCUGGAGGUGAGGCUCUUGAUGCAGGCCCUGCUGGGAGUCUCUCCAUGGCCAAUUGCUACAGAGUGACAUUCUGGUCCACAUGCUCAAGGCUGGGCAAGGAGCCGUGGAAUUGCCAUCAGCUCAGAGAUUCUCAGGCACGCAACCACUGGGACAGAACUGACCUCCCACAUGACUCCUUUUUAUGGUGUAAUCCUUUUUUAAAAUUUAUUUCCACUCUGCCAUAGACUUGGCUCAUUCAUUUUCAGAGGGUGCAGUUUUCUCCAGGGAUGAAGUGUGCCGAUUCUUCAAUGUAUUUUAGCUUACAAGACGUUUGUCUUCUCCCCUUCUGUUUUGAUUUUGCUUUGAGCCAGUGGCAGAUAGUAAUUCUGAUACAGAAUAGCUAAAGGCAGUCC
This 1054-nucleotide long non-coding RNA is filed under the name Marmota monax (woodchuck). Lineage: Eukaryota; Metazoa; Chordata; Mammalia; Rodentia; Sciuridae. The record is from RNAcentral.